Herpailurus yagouaroundi (jaguarundi) is the source of this 777-nucleotide long non-coding RNA. RefSeq lists it as uncharacterized. NCBI's taxonomy places the organism in Eukaryota, Metazoa, Chordata, Mammalia, Carnivora, Felidae. The transcript is spliced from 3 exons. The record is from RefSeq and is a predicted model, not a curated record.
AUAAAUAAACUUUAAAAAAAAAAAAAAAAAAGAGCUGGAGACUUAACUAACUGAGCCACCCAGGCACCCCCAUAAUGCCUUGUUUUUAUACUAGUCUUCUAAUCUAUUAAGUAUUUUUACAUAAAUUUUCCUUUAAUUCUUGAUAAUCAGCAUGCUAUUAUUCUUUCUGUAGGGUUUAGGAAACUGAGGCUCAGAGAAGUUUCCUUCUCUGAAAGGAAACUUCAGACCCAAAUUUGCCCAAGACCACAGAACUUCGAACUGACAGAAAUUAAACUGGAGUACAAAUAAAAGUGGAGGAUUUUUGAACCCAGGGGGCGUGGAAGGGAUCUUGAGCAAGAAGGGGUGGGGUCUGCUGGGGAAAGGUGGGACUGGACUAUUUUUGUCAGGGGGUUACCGCUUAAGCAAAUCUGUGCCACUGUGGAAACAACCUCUACUGAUUCCCCAGGGCUUUUCACAGCUUUUUCGUUGCCUCCAUAACCCAAGCUAUACACUCUUUAAGAACUUCAAGAUUUACCCUUAUUUUUUUAUAUACUAACUUGCACAGACUACCUUGGCAAUACUGUUCUAAGGAGGAGUUUAAAAAAGUCUGGCUUCAAAUUCCAGUUCCUCCACCUACAAACUGGAUGGCCUUGGGCAAGUUAUCUAACUUCCAUUUCCCGACCUCUAAGGAAUGAGAAACCUACGGGAAAACAGUAUACAUAGUUCCGGCACAAAAGUUAAAACCAAAGUGGAAAAGGCAUCCAGCAAGUUCAGCAGCUUUUGCCUCGAGGUGGAAAU